CUUGGUCAUUUAGAGGAAGUAAAAGUGUAACAAGGUCUCCCGUUGGUGAACCAGCGGAGGGAUCAUUAC
Molecule: ribosomal RNA, 69 nt
Filed under: uncultured Sordariomycetes
Lineage: Eukaryota; Fungi; Ascomycota; Sordariomycetes
Description: partial 18S ribosomal RNA
Rfam family: Eukaryotic small subunit ribosomal RNA
Source: RNAcentral